RNAcentral lists this ribosomal RNA (384 nucleotides) under uncultured prokaryote. Its description in RNAcentral is "bacterial SSU rRNA". It matches the Rfam family "Archaeal small subunit ribosomal RNA", at positions 341 to 725 of the family's 1478-position model. The record is from RNAcentral.
GCGAAAACUAUACAAUGCUGGCAACAGCGAUAAGGGAACCUCGAGUGCCAGGUUACAAAUCUGGCUGUCGAGAUGCCUAAAAAGCAUUUCAUAGCAAGGGCCGGGCAAGACCGGUGCCAGCCGCCGCGGUAACACCGGCGGCUCGAGUGGUAACCGUUAUUAUUGGGUCUAAAGGGUCUGUAGCCGGCCGGAUAAGUCUCUUGAGAAAUCUGGCAGCUUAACUGUCAGGCUUUCAGGAGAUACUGUCUGGCUCGAGGCCGGGAGAGGUGAGAGGUACUGCAGGGGUAGUGGUGAAAUCUUGUAAUCCUUGAAGGACCACCAGUGGCGAAGGCGUCUCACCAGAACGGACCUGACGGCAAGGGACGAAAGCUAGGGGCACGAACC